UUUCAUUUUAUUUAUUUAACGUUUAUUUAUUUUGAGACAGAGACAGAGCAUAAAUGGGGGAGGGUCAGAGAGAGAGGGAGACACAGAAUUGGAAGCAGGCUCCAGGCUCUGAGCCAUCAGCCCAGAGCCCGACGCGGGGUUCGAACUCACGAACUGUGAGAUCGUGACCUGAGCUGAAGUCGGACGCUUAACCGACUGAGCCACCCAGGCGCCCCUCAAAAUAAACAUUUAAAAAAAAAAAAAAAAAAAGAACAAGUUCUGACAUAGUCCUGGAGAAUCUAGAAGGUCAUGCAUAUGCAUAGGGAUAUGCUCAUGCCCUGUGCCAUUGCCUUUUCAGGAAAGACCUGAAAAGCUCUAAGCUCUCACCACUGGCUAUCUUGAGGCCCUACAGAAGGAGGAAGUGAAGGCUGAGACAGUUGUAGGCUGCAUGGCUGAGUGUUGAAGUCCUGCCCUAACAUACACGGAACCAUUUGUCAAAGGCUGAGAGAUAUUUAAGAUAUCUGUCCAAUCAUUAGAUGAUCACUAAGCUACCCAAGCAAAGACUAAACAGAUCAUGUGUGACACAGAAUACAAACUUCACAGACUUAGUUCGGAAAAGGCAUUACACAGACAGUAAUAAAAAAUACCAAAUUAUAAGGAGGGAAAGUGAUUUCCAAAGUUGGUGGAUUAUUGUCCAGUUUUCAGAAGAAAAUUAUGAAACCUGCAAGAAAAGAAGAAAGCAGGAUUCCUACAUGGAGGUGAGGAACAAUCAAUAGAAACUGUCCCUGGGGAAGCCAAGAUGGUGGCCUUCCUAGACAAACAUUAUAUAUGUUUUUAACUUUAAUUUUAAUUUACUUUAUUAUUUUUUGAUGUUUAUAUUUGAGAGAGCGAGCACAAACUGGGGAGGGGCAGAGAGAGACAGAGACAGAAUCUGAAGCAGGCUCCAGGCUCUGAGGUGUCAGCACAGAACCUGAUGCUGGGCUUGAACCCACAAGCCGUGAGAUCAGUACCUGUGCCGAAGUCAGAUGCUUAACCGACUGAGCCACCCAGGUGCCGCUAGACAAACCUUUUAAAUCAGGUGUUAUGCAUGUAUGUUAAAAGUUGAAAUCAUACUGCAGGAACUAAAAAAGCAAAGCAUGAAAAUGACGUCUCACCAAAUACACAAUAUCAUUAAAGAGACAAAGUUUUUUUUAAAUUUUUUUUUUAACGUUUAUUUUUGAGACAGAGACAGAGCAUGAACGGGGGAGGGUCAGAGAGAGGGAGACACAGAAUCUGAAACAGGCUCCAGGCUCUGAGCUGUCAGCACAGAGCCCGACGCGGGGCUCGAACUCACGGACCGUGCAAGAUCAUGACCUGAGCUGAAGUCGGCUGCCCAACCGACUGAGCCACCCAGGCGCCCCUGACAAAUUGUUUUUUAAUGUUUAUUUUUUGAGAGAGAGAGGGUGCAAGCAGGGGAGGGGCAGAGAGAGAGGGAGAAAGAGGAUCCAAACGGGGUUCCACACUGACAGCAGAGAGCCCAAUGCGGGGCUGGAACUCAUGCACUGUGAGAUCAGGACCUGAGCCAAAGUCAGGUGCUCAACUGACUGAGCCACCCAGGUGCCCCAAGAGACAGAAAUUUCAAAAAAGAACUAAAUGGGAAUUCUGGAGUUGAAAAGCACAGUAACUAACGAAAAAUUCACCAGAGAGGCUCAACAGUAGAUUUGGGCAAAGAGGUGAAGGAAUCAGCAGAUUUGAAGAUCUGUCAAUUGAGAUAAUCCUGUGUGAAAACCAGAAUGAAACCGUGAACAGAGUUUCAGCAACCUGGGACACAAUGACGCAAACCAGUAUUUGCAAAUGGGAGUCCCAGAAGGAGAGGAGGAGAGAGGGAAAGAGACACAAGGACAAGGAAAGUAGGAGAAAUGGGUGAAGGUGGUCAAAAGGGGACAAAUUUCUAGUUAUAAAAUGACUACAUCAGGGGGAUGUAAUGUGCAGCAUGGUGACUGUAGUUAAUGAUGCCGUAUCAUAUAUUUGAAAGCUGCUAAGAGAGUAGAUCUUAAAAGUUCUUAUCAUGGGGAAAAAAACAUACCUGUGUGGUGAUGGAUGCUAACUGGACUUGUGGUCACUUCAGAAUACAGACAGAUAAUUGAAUCAUGUUGUAUGAAUCUAAUAUAAUACCAUAUGCCAAUUAUAGCUCAAUUAAAAAAAGAAUACUGAAAGCAAGAGAGAAAUGACUCACCAUAUGCAAGAGAUCCUCAACAAGAUUAACAGCUGAUUCCUCAUCAGAAACCACAAAGGGCGGGGGCGGUGGGGUGACAUAUUGCAAGUAAUGAAAGAAAAAGAUUAGGGCACCCCAGUUGGAUAAGCAUCUGACUCUUGAUUUCAGCUCAGGUCACGAUCUCACGGUUUGUGAGAUUGAGCCCCGUGUCUGGCUGUGUGCUGACAGUGUGGAGCCUGCUUGGGAUCCUCCCUCUCCCUUUCUCUCUGCCCCUCCCCUGCUCGUGUGCUCUCUCUCAAAAUACAUAUAUAAACAUUAAAGAAAAUUAAAAAAAUUAAAAACUGUGUGUUGGAGAAACUGCAUGUUUAAAAAAUAAAUAAAAAUGAAAGGGGGAACGAAGACAAUUCCAGAUAAAUACUGAAAAAAUGUGUCACUAGCAGAUCUACUUUACAAAAAAUACUAACGGUGUUUUUUCAGGCUGAGAUGAAAAGUGAUCAGAUAGUAACUCAAAUUCACAUGAAGAAAUAAAGAGCACUGGUAAAGACAAAACAAGUGGGUUGAAAGCAAAAGCGUGGAGAUGGCACACUAUGUAAACAGCAGAAGAGCUGGAGGAGCUGUACUAAUAGAAGUAAAAGACUUGCAGAUCAAAAUUGUUCUUAGCAACACUGACAAGUAGUUUCUUAUGCCAAAAGAGUCCAUCUAUCCAAAGGACGUGACCAUUACAAACACAUUUGUACUUAAAAACAGAGCCCCAAAAUACACAAAGUAAGCACUGACAGAACUGAAAGGAGAAAUCUACAACUCAGUGACAACUGGAGAGUUCAGUCUCUCAUUUUCAGUCAUUGAGAGAACCCCCACAGAAGAUCGACAUGGAAACAAGAUGUGAACAACACUAUAAGCCAACUAGACCUAACAGACGCAUACAGAGCGGAAUAAACAGUCUUCUCAAGUGCAUCAAUAGGUCAAAGUCACACGGACCCUUAAAAAAAAUUUUUAAUUUUUUUUUGAGACAGCGAGCGAGUGGGGGAGGUGCAGAGAGGCACACACAGAAUCCGAAGCAGGCUCCAGGCUCCGAACUGUCAGCACAGAGCCCAACAUGGGGCUUGAACUCACGCACCGUGAGCUCAGGACCUGAGCCGAAGUGGGGAGCUCAACCGACUGAGCCACCCAGGCACCCCACAAGGGCAUUUAAAAAUACAUAUGAAUGCCAUGGUUUGUGAGAUGGAGCCUGCAUCAGAGUCUGUUUAGGAUUAUCUCUCUCCCUCUCUCUCUGCCCCUCCCCCCCUCAAAAUAAGUAAAACAUUAAAAAAAUAGAAAAUAAAAAUACAGGUUAAUGACAAUGAAAACACAACAUGCCAAAAUUUACGGGAUGCAGUGAAAGUAGUAAUUACAUGAAGAUUUAUGUCUGUAAUUACAUGUGUUAGAAAACAGAUCUCGAAUAAUCUAAUUCCCCCCCCACUAAGAAACUACAAAAAAGAGCAAUCAAAACCAAAAGCAAGCAGAAGGAAGGGAAUCCUAAAGAUUGGAGUGGAAAUACAUGGAAAUAAAGAAAAACAACAGAAAAAAAAAUCAAAAGUUGGUUGAGAAGAUAAAUAAAAUUGACCAACCUCAACUAGACUGCCAAAGAUAAAUACUCAAAUGUCUAAAAUUAGGAAUGAGAGGACCCAUCACUACCAAUCUUAAAGAAGCAAAAAGGAUUAUAAGGGAAGAAUAUGAAAAAAAUGUAUGUCAGUGAGCUAGACAGCGGAGAUGAAAUGCACAAAUUCUUAAAAGAUGAAAACUACUGACAUCGACUCUAAAAGAAACAGAAAAUGUAAGAGACAUAUAGCAAGUAUGGGGACCUGGGUGGCUCAUCGGUUAAGUGUCUGACUCUUGAUUUUUGGCUCAGGUCAUGAUCUGAUGGUUGUGAGAUUGAGCCCUGCGUCAGGCUCUGCGCUCAGCAUGAAGCCUCCUUUAAGAGUCUCUCUCUCCCUCUGUCCCUCCCCUGCUAGUGUGUGCUCCCUCCCUCUCUCUCUCUCUCAAGAAAGAAAAGACCUACAGCAAGUAAAAAGAAAAAAUUAGUAAUAAGUUCCCACAAACAACAGCCUAGAACCUGGGCACCUGGGGGCCUUGCACUAGCAGGCUUACAGCAAUGCCAGCCAGGCAAGGGGCCAACUCCACCUGACAGUGUGCCCACAGGAGGUGCAGGCCUGCCACAACACAAGGGUGCACGUAGCCUACACAGGGAACACCCAUGGAGCACCUGGCUCUGGUGGCCAGGAGGAAUUGCUCUUCUGGGCCCCACAGGACAUCUAUGUAAGGCCACUCCUUCAAGACAGGGAGGUAAUUGAACUACCUAAUACAUAGAAACAAAUGCAGACAGGGGCACCUGGGUGGCUCAGUCGGUUGAGCGUCCGACUUCCGCUCAGGUCACCAUCUCACACUCCGUGAGUUCAAGCCCCGCGUCAGGCUCUGUGCUGACAGCUCAGAGCCUGGAGCCUGCUUCAGAUUCUGUGUCUCCCCCUCUCUCUGCCCCUCCCCUGCUCAUGCUCUGUCUCUCUCUCUCUGUCUCAAAAAUAAGUAAAAACAUUAAAAAAAAAUUUAAGAAAUGCAGACAGUCGUGCAAAAUGAGACAGAAAUAUGUUUUAAAUCAAAGAACAAGACAAAACCUGAGAAAAAGAACUAAAAAAAAUCAAGAUAGCAAUAUACCCAAUAAAGAGUUCAAAGUAAUGGUCAGAAAGAUGGUUACCAAACUUGGGGAGAAGAAUGGAUAAACACAGUGAGAACUUAAACCAAGAGACAGAAAAUAAAAAAGCAAUCAGAGCUGAAGAAUACAAGAAGGAAAAGGAAAUAUAUACUAGAGGGAAUAAACGUAGACUAGAUGAUACGGAAGAAUGGAUCAGUGAUCUGGAAGACGGUAGUGGAGACCACUUAACUGGGACAGUAAAAAGAAACAAGAAUUAAAAAACAAGAUCAUUUAAGGGGCCUCUGGGACAACAUCAAGUGUACUAACAUUCACAUACUGGGGUCCCAGAAGGAGAGGAGAGAGUAAAAGAGACUGAAAACCUAUUUGAAGAAUUAAGGCUGAAAACUUGCCUAGACCAAGACCUACAAGUCCAGAAAGCACAAAAAAUAAGAUGAACCCAAAGAGACCCACACCAAGACAUGUUAUCAUUAAAAUGUCAAAAAGUAAAGACAGCGGGAAUCUUAAAGCAGCAAGAGAUGGGGCACCUGAGUGGCUCAGUCAGUUAAGCAUCCAACUCUUGGUUUUGGCUCAGGUCGUGAUCUCAUAGUUUGUGGGUUCGAGCCCUGUGCUGCACUCCAUGCUGACAGUGUGGAGCCUGCUUGGGACUCUCUCCCUCUCUUUCUCUCUGCCUCUCCCCUGCUCCUGCUCUCUCUCUCAAAAAUAAACAUUUUUAAAAAAUUUUUAAUAUUUUUAUUUAUUUUUGAGAGAGAGCAAGUGAGCGAGUGUGAGCAGGGGAGGGGCAGAGGGAGAAGAGGAGAGAGAAUCCCAAGCAGGUUACACACUGUGAGCACAGAGCUAGCUGCAGGGCUCAAAUUCACGAACCAUGAGAUCAUGACCUGAGCCGACCCAAGAGUUGGCCACUUAACUGAUUGAGCCACCCGGUGCCCCCAAAAUAAAUAAACUUUAAGAAAUAAUAAAAAAAUAAAAGACAUGAAAAAAAGCAGCAAGAGAAAAGCAAGUAGUAAGGGAACGCUGAUAAGACUAUCAGCUAAUUUUCAGGAGAAACUUUGUAGGUCAGAGGCUCCUGGGUGACUCAGUUGAUUAUAAGCAUCCAACUUCAGCUCAGGUCAUGAUCUCAUGGCUCGUGAGUUUGAACCCCACAUCAGGCUCUUUGCAGUCAGCACGGAGCCUGCUUUGGAUCCAGGACAGAGGAGCCUGGUUUGGCUCUGUCCGUCCCCCUUCUCUGCCCCUCCCUUGCUCAUGCUUGUGUGAACACUCCCUCUCAAAAAUAAACAUUAAAAAAAAAGGAAAAAAAAACUUUGUUGGUCAGAAGGCUGUGGUAUAAUAUAUUCAAAGUGCUGAAAGGGAAAAACAAACCAACAAACAAAACCUUAUGACCAAGAAUACUCUGCCUGGCAAGGUUAUCAUUCAGAGUAUAAGUAGAGGUAAAAGAAUUUCCUGGUCAGUAAAAGCUAGGAGUUCGUCACCAUUAUACUGGCUUCACAAAAAAUAUUAAAGGGAGUUUUUAAAGCAGAAAAGAAAAGACAGUAACUAGAAAUAAGGAAAUAUGAGAAAAAAAACCCCCCUCACUGGUAAAGGCAAACAUAGAAAAAGUAGUGGAACAACCACUUAUAAAAUGGUAAAAAUGUGACAUCAAAACCAUAAAAUGUGUGUGUGUGGGGGAGUGGAGUAAAAAUGUAACUAAAAAACAUUUUUUUUUCCUUAGAGACAGUGUGAGUGGGGGAGGGGCAGAGAGAGAGAGAGAGGGAGACACAGAAUCCGAAGCAGGCUCCAGUCUCUGAGCUGUCAGCACACAGCUUGAUGCAGGGCUUGAACCCACGGACCGUGAGAUCAUGACCUGAGCUAAAGUCCAGUGCUUGACUGACUGAGCUAUCCAGGUGCUCCCAAAAUAUAAUGUUUUUAGAAUGAGUUUGAACUUAACUACCAAUUUACAACAGACUGCUAUACACAGCUUGUUAUAUAUGAAUCUCAUGGUAACCACAAACCCAAAACCUAUAAUAGAUGCACAAAAAAAAAAAAAAACCCAGAAAGGAAUCUAAGCAUAACACUAAGGAAGGUCAUCAAAGCACAAGAAAGCAAGAGAAAAAGCAAUAGAGAAUUGCAAAACCAGCAGAAAAGAAAAUGGCAGUAAAUACAUAGCUAUCAAUAAUCACUACAACUGUAAAUGGACUCAAUGAUCCAGUCAAAAGACACAGGGUAGCUGAAUGGAUUAAACAAAGGAACAAACCCAGGACUCAUCUAUAUGCUGGCUACAAGAGACUCACUUCAGACUUAACAUACAAACUGGAAGUAAAGAGAUGGAAAAAAGAUAA
Neofelis nebulosa (Clouded leopard) is the source of this 7171-nucleotide long non-coding RNA. RefSeq lists it as uncharacterized. The record is from RefSeq and is a predicted model, not a curated record. Lineage: Eukaryota; Metazoa; Chordata; Mammalia; Carnivora; Felidae. The transcript is spliced from 2 exons.